GAAGCCUCAGGGUUGCAUUACGUCUGUGUCCCGUGUGUAUAUGAGCUAUGGGCGUGUGCGUGUGUGUGUGUGUGUGUGUGUGUUUGUGUGUGUGUGUGUGUGAGUGUGAGUGAGUGUGUGAGUGUGUGUG
Molecule: long non-coding RNA, 130 nt
Organism: Alosa sapidissima (American shad)
Lineage: Eukaryota; Metazoa; Chordata; Actinopteri; Clupeiformes; Clupeidae
Exons: 3
Source: RefSeq, a predicted model, not a curated record